This 435-nucleotide ribosomal RNA is filed under the name uncultured Pedobacter sp. RNAcentral describes it as "bacterial SSU rRNA". It matches the Rfam family "Bacterial small subunit ribosomal RNA", at positions 358 to 789 of the family's 1533-position model. The record is from RNAcentral. Lineage: Bacteria; Pseudomonadati; Bacteroidota; Sphingobacteriia; Sphingobacteriales; Sphingobacteriaceae.
GGAAUAUUGGUCAAUGGAGGCAACUCUGAACCAGCCAUGCCGCGUGCAGGAAGACAGCCCUCUGGGUCGUAAACUGCUUUUAUUCGGGAAUAGACCUCACUACGUGUAGUGAGCUGAAUGUACCGAAGGAAUAAGGAUCGGCUAACUCCGUGCCAGCAGCCGCGGUAAUACGGAGGAUCCAAGCGUUAUCCGGAUUUAUUGGGUUUAAAGGGUGCGUAGGCGGCUUAUUAAGUCAGGGGUGAAAGACGGUGGCUCAACCAUCGCAGUGCCCUUGAUACUGAUGAGCUUGAAUACACUAGAGGUAGGCGGAAUGUGACAAGUAGCGGUGAAAUGCAUAGAUAUGUCACAGAACACCGAUUGCGAAGGCAGCUUACUAUGGUGUGAUUGACGCUGAGGCACGAAAGCGUGGGGAUCAAACAGGAUUAGAUACCCCUG